Non-coding RNA from Musa acuminata subsp. malaccensis (wild Malaysian banana), 3014 nucleotides. NCBI's taxonomy places the organism in Eukaryota, Viridiplantae, Streptophyta, Magnoliopsida, Zingiberales, Musaceae. The record is from RefSeq and is a predicted model, not a curated record.
CGCCCCGCCCCGCCCGGCCCUGUUCCUCGCCUUCGCCCUCGCCCCCCGCCCCAAGACUGUCCUAAGUAGGCGUUCGAUCGCUUACAUCGAGGGUCGUUUCCGUCUUCCUCCGGAGCUCCGACUAGGGCUUCGAAGAUAUCUGUUUCGAGCCAUUUGCUUCUGGUGACAUACCAUCGAGCUCGUGUCUUGUUCGAUGCAAUUCUUACCGGGUUGUCAUAUGAUCGUUGUUCAUUUUCUCCAAUCCAAUCGACUAGGAUGGACGCCAAUGAAAGCAACGCGAUUGCCGUUCACAAUCCGAGAGCCCGGAAGUUGCGAUCAUUGGUCUGGAAUGAUUUCACUAAGGAGCGCAAGGCCGAUGGGAGCUACGUCGCCGUAUGCAACCACUGCAAGAAGCAGCUCACGGCGAGCAGCCGGAGUGGGACGACGCAUCUGAAGAACCACCUGGUGAUUUGCACAUCUACCAAGCGGAUCAAGCGCAAGAAGCUGGUCGUCCGCCGGCUCGUCCUCACGUCGAGCGACGCCAAGAGUGAGGGUGUUCUGAGUUCCGAUCACUCCCAGUUUGAUCAGGAGGCGAGCCGGCAAGAUCUCGCCCGCAUGGUCAUUCUGCAUGGGUAUCCGUUCAACAUCGUCCAUCAUGUCGGCUUCAGGACAUUUGUUAGGAAUCUUCAGCCACUCUUUAAAUUGGUGUCCGCCGAUGUCGUGAAGGCAGAUUGCAUGAAGAUGUACGAGAAUGAGAGGCUGAGGUUGCAUGAAGUACUAGACAGGCUACAUUCUCGGGUCAGCCUCAAUGUCGAUGUGUGGAGGUCGAAUGAGGAUGUAGAGUAUGCUUGUGUGUCGUGCCACUAUGUUGAUAAUGAUUGGAGGCUUAAGAAGAAGAUCCUUAACUUUGCUCAUGUCGGAUGUCCAGAGAAGGAACAAGAAAUCAGUAAAAUUAUAUUGGAGAAGUUGCAGGAGUGGAAUAUCGAUGGGAAGCUAUGUAGCAUAGUUCUCGACAAUUGUAGAACCAGUGAUUUGGUGGCAAGUGAGCUUCUUGGAUCCCUUCGUAUGAAGGGUUUCCUUAUUUCAAAUGGUGAUCUAUUCUAUGCCCGAUCUUGUGGUCAUUUGCUGAAUCUUGUUGUCCAGAAAGGCCUCGAAUUGGCUUGUGAAAUCAUUGAUAGAGUCCGUGCUUGCGUGCAAAAUGUAAAAUCCUCACAAGACAGGCUAGCAAGAUUUCAGAAAGAUGCCGAGCAAAUGGGCAUCCCACAAAAGCCAUUAGUUCUUGAUGCUCCAGCUAGUUGGCCAUCAACAUACUUCAUGCUUGAAACUGCAUGUCAAUAUCAAGAGGCUUUUAAGAACUUAGCAGAGAAUGAUGUGGAAAACACAUGCUUUCUUUCACCGAAGGAUUGGAGUGAUGUUAGAGCUAUUGUUGGGUGUCUACAAGUGCUUUACAAUGAUGCUAUGGUCAAGUUUUCUGCUGCAGGAGUCCCAACUUCCAAUCUAUUUUUUAGAGAUAUGUGUGGUAUUCAUUUGCUAUUGAAGUCCUGGUGCAGUAGCCCGCAGCCUUUUGUUGCAUCAAUGGCCAAAGAGAUGCUUGAGAAAUUUGAACAGUAUUGGGAUUUAACUAGAAUGCCAAUGGCAAUCGCUUCUGUUUUAGAUCCUCGAUAUAAGAUGAAGCCAGUUGAAUACUUCUUCAAUCGAAUUUAUGAUGAUGCAUCUGAAGCCAAGACAAAGAUCGAUAAUGUUCGUGACAGCUUUGUAAAUCUGUACAAUGAAUAUAUAGGCCAGUCUGCUAAUUCUUCAAAAAACCAAGCCUCCUAUGGUGGAAAUAGUAGUAGCUAUGAUGGUGCUGACCAUGGGAAUGGUGCAGAAUGUAAAUCUUCUCGUGUCACACUAUCUGACACACAACGUGGGUUGGAUCAGUAUCUUAAAGAGACGUCAUCAGGUCAUCCAGCAAGAUCUGAUCUGGAUAUGUACUUGGAGGAAGCUGUUCAUCCCUCAAAAAGUCUUGAUGACAAUUUUGAUAUCUUAGCUUGGUGGAAAUAUAAUGCUGCCAAAUAUCCUGCUCUUUCUAUGAUGGCUCGUGAUAUUUUAGCAAUUCCUAUUUCAGUAGUUCCGUUAGACAGUGAAGCGAGAUCAUUAAAUCACUAUUUAAGUGCGACCGAUGCAGUGAUUGUAGAAUGCUUGAUAUGUGCACAAGAUUGGAUAGGAGAUGAAACAGAGGUGUCGCCAGUGAACACCCUUGCACUUGUUUCUUCGGCUGCUAGCUUUGAGGGCCAUGGUGAUGAGUACUUGUUACCUGCUGAUGGUGAUUAGUUUUCACCAAUGUGAAGCAGGUACAAGUUGGAUUCAUUGAAACAAGUUUAUUAAGACUACAAGAUCACUGAAAUGACGGAAUAGGAUAAAUCUUUGUGAGCAAAGGAACUGUAGCAUUUUAAGGCAACUGAAAGACAGAAUGAUUAUUGACUCCACAUGCUGACUCACAAAGCCGAAUCUUGUAGUUCUUCUACUCUUCUCACGUGUGUAUUAAGAAGAACCAGUUCGGACCAGUUAGAUGGGCAUUGUAAUUUAUCGUGCUAUCUAUUCUGGCCUUAUUUAACAAAUGUAUAGACUUGUCCAUCUUGCAAGUAUAAAAGCUAUUCGGGGUCCAUCUUGCAAGCAUAAAACCUAUUCGGGAUAUAUAGUCUUCGUCAUCUUUUGUUGUCUCUGCAAGUAUUAUCUGAUCAAUGACUCAGAACUCUCACUUGAAAGGAACCUGACAAUCAAUUGGAUUUUGCAGUCUUCACCAUCUUUUGUUGUCUCUGCAAGUAUUAUCUGAUCAAUGACUCAGAACUCUCACUUGAAAGGAACCUGACAAUCAAUUGGAUUUUGCAUGCUGUGGUGGAUUGUCAAAGAGGUCAUGAAGCCCUUGGUCACCAGAAGCUGUAGAUGCUUGUACUUGCAUGAAGGUGAGUUAACAAAUCUCUUGUAUUGACUAAGACACUCUACAACAAUUGGUACCUACAGUUCUCAACAACACAGCUUUGUAUAUGCAUUUG